Molecule: ribosomal RNA, 834 nt
Filed under: uncultured Vibrio sp.
Lineage: Bacteria; Pseudomonadati; Pseudomonadota; Gammaproteobacteria; Vibrionales; Vibrionaceae
Description: bacterial SSU rRNA
Rfam family: Bacterial small subunit ribosomal RNA
Source: RNAcentral
UAUUGCCCAAUGGGCGCAAGCCUGAUGCAGCCAUGCCGCGUGUUGAAGAAGGCCUUCGGGUUGUAAAGCACUUUCAGUCGUGAGGAAGGUAGUGUAGUUAAUAGCUGCAUUAUUUGACGUUAGCGACAGAAGAAGCACCGGCUAACUCCGUGCCAGCAGCCGCGGUAAUACGGAGGGUGCGAGCGUUAAUCGGAAUUACUGGGCGUAAAGCGCAUGCAGGUGGUUUGUUAAGUCAGAUGUGAAAGCCCGGGGCUCAACCUCGGAAUUGCAUUUGAAACUGGCAGACUAGAGUACUGUAGAGGGGGGUAGAAUUUCAGGUGUAGCGGUGAAAUGCGUAGAGAUCUGAAGGAAUACCGGUGGCGAAGGCGGCCCCCUGGACAGAUACUGACACUCAGAUGCGAAAGCGUGGGGAGCAAACAGGAUUAGAUACCCUGGUAGUCCACGCCGUAAACGAUGUCUACUUGGAGGUUGUGGCCUUGAGCCGUGGCUUUCGGAGCUAACGCGUUAAGUAGACCGCCUGGGGAGUACGGUCGCAAGAUUAAAACUCAAAUGAAUUGACGGGGGCCCGCACAAGCGGUGGAGCAUGUGGUUUAAUUCGAUGCAACGCGAAGAACCUUACCUACUCUUGACAUCCAGAGAACUUUCCAGAGAUGGAUUGGUGCCUUCGGGAACUCUGAGACAGGUGCUGCAUGGCUGUCGUCAGCUCGUGUUGUGAAAUGUUGGGUUAAGUCCCGCAACGAGCGCAACCCUUAUCCUGUUUGCCACCAGUAUGUCGGGAACUCCAGGGAAACUGCCGGUGAUAACCGGAGGAAGGGGGGACGACGUCAGUCAUCA